This 496-nucleotide ribosomal RNA is filed under the name uncultured bacterium. RNAcentral's name for it is "partial 16S ribosomal RNA". It matches the Rfam family "Bacterial small subunit ribosomal RNA", at positions 28 to 507 of the family's 1533-position model. The record is from RNAcentral.
GACGAACGCUGGCGGCGUGCCUAAUACAUGCAAGUUGAGCGCUGAAGGUUGGUACUUGUACCAACUGGAUGAGCAGCGAACGGGUGAGUAACGCGUGGGGAAUCUGCCUUUGAGCGGGGGACAACAUUUGGAAACGAAUGCUAAUACCGCAUAAAAACUUUAAACACAAGUUUUAAGUUUGAAAGAUGCAAUUGCAUCACUCAAAGAUGAUCCCGCGUUGUAUAGCUAGUUGGUGAGGUAAAGGCUCACCAAGGCGAUGAUACAUAGCCGACCUGAGAGGGUGAUCGGCCACAUUGGGACUGAGACACGGCCCAAACUCCUACGGGAGGCAGCAGUAGGGAAUCUUCGGCAAUGGACGAAAGUCUGACCGAGCAACGCCGCGUGAGUGAAGAAGGUUUUCGGAUCGUAAAACUCUGUUGGUAGAGAAGAACGUUGGUGAGAGUGGAAAGCUCAUCAAGUGACGGUAACUACCCAGAAAGGGACGGCUAACUACGUG